UGCACGGCGGUACUCUGCGGAGCACCGACUACUUGGUAGAGCUGGGCAGUACACAUAGCUUGGUCAUUUUCAUCUGGACACUAGCACCACCCAGUCCCUCCCUCUGGGCAGUGAGGAUUCUCUGACAUAAUGCAGCAUUGAUGAGCUGUUCUACAGUGACUGGAACAUUCCACCUGCCAGGCCAGAAAAGCCCUAAGAGCAACAGAAUGCCUAGAAGACCACCCGCCAUAUGUCCCCUCCCCAAGCCAGGACCACACGCUG
Long non-coding RNA from Neomonachus schauinslandi (Hawaiian monk seal), 261 nucleotides. RefSeq lists it as uncharacterized. Lineage: Eukaryota; Metazoa; Chordata; Mammalia; Carnivora; Phocidae. The transcript is spliced from 3 exons. The record is from RefSeq and is a predicted model, not a curated record.